Molecule: ribosomal RNA, 777 nt
Filed under: Analges poppei
Lineage: Eukaryota; Metazoa; Arthropoda; Arachnida; Sarcoptiformes; Analgidae
Description: partial large subunit ribosomal RNA
Rfam family: Eukaryotic large subunit ribosomal RNA
Source: RNAcentral
CCCUUAGUAACGGCGAGCGAAAAGGGAAGAGUCCAGCGCCAAGUCUUGACGCCGAAGCGCUCAAGAGAUGCGGCGUUAAUGUAUUAUCGCAUCGUACAUUGUUGCCUGUUUCAAGUUCCCUUGACAGGGACAUCCAUAGCGGGUGCUAGGCCCAUAGAGGCAGGGAACCAGUGUACGCAGAUAAUGCAUUCUAGAGUCAGGUUGCUUGAGAGUGCAGCUUAAAGUGGGUGGUAAACUCCAUCUAAGGCUAAAUAUGACAGCGAGACCGAUAGCAAACAAGUACCGUGAGGGAAAGUUGCAAAGCACUUUGAAGAGAGAGUUCAACAGUACGUGAAACCACUGGGAGGCAAACAGAUGGAACCACGAAGUUGCGCCUCGCUCGAUUCAAUCAUUGAUACUAGUUACCGGUUCUUGUGUGGAUCUUUUCGGAGAUUAGCAAGUAUCGUGGGACUGGUUUCAGUGGUGCAUUUCGUGUGAGGAUGCUAAGCCACGUUCGAUUAGAGUUGGGACGGCCGUAGGACAGAACUUAGGAAGGUGGCCGGAGAUGCUUGCAUUUUUCGGUUUUUAUAGAGUUAAGUUGGUACCGUCGCCUAACAUACUGAUCGAUAAAAAUUCUCCUUCGGAGUUGAACCGUGUCUGCCUAUGGUCAUUAGUCAACUUUUAGGAAUGUUCUUUACGUAUCUUUGGUGCGGAAAGACAUUUCGACAAUUUUGGUUAGUGGCUGUUUGCGUGACAUGGUGGAACUGUGGCGUGAGUAGGUCGGUUUCCCUCUGACCC